Molecule: ribosomal RNA, 747 nt
Filed under: Triticum aestivum (bread wheat)
Lineage: Eukaryota; Viridiplantae; Streptophyta; Magnoliopsida; Poales; Poaceae
Description: partial small subunit ribosomal RNA
Source: RNAcentral
AUGGCUCCGACGUCGAAGAUGGCGCUCGGCAUAAAGCGGGCGUCGAGAUCGCACACCUACCACCGCCGCGGGCUUUGGGCCAUCAAGGCCAAGCACGGCGGCGCCUUGCCCAAGGCCGAGAAGCCGGCCGCCGUCGCCGAGCCCAAGUUCUAUCCCGCUGAUGAUGUCAAGCCACGCACCGUGAGCACACGCAAGCCCCAUCCCACCAAGCUCAGAUCGACCAUCACACCGGGCACGGUGCUGAUCCUGCUCGCGGGGAGGUACAUGGGAAAGCGCGUGGUGUUCCUCAAGCAGCUCCAGUCCGGCCUUCUCCUCAUCACUGGACCUUUCAAGAUCAAUGGCGUGCCAAUCCGCAGAGUGAACCAGGCUUACGUCAUUGCCACAUCCACAAAGGUCGACAUCUCUAAGGUUAAUGUGCAGAAGUUUGAUGACAAGUACUUCGCUAGGGAGAAGAAGACUAGGGCAAAGAAGACUGAGGGCGAGCUAUUUGAGUCGGAUAAGGAGGUACAUUCAUGCAUCAUUAUCCUUUUAGAUGCCCUUUACCCGUCUUGUUCCAAUACCUUAUUUUAUAUCUUCUCUGUUACCCUGCAGGCAACCAAGAAUUUGCCAGACUUCAAGAAGGAUGACCAGAAGGUCAUUGACGCUGAGUUGAUCAAGGCUAUCGAUGCUGUCCCAGACCUUAAAAAUUAUCUUGGUGCCCGGUUCUCCCUCAGGGAUGGCGACAAGCCGCAUGAGAUGACCUUCUAA